AACGAACGCUGGCGGCAUGCCUAACACAUGCAAGUCGAACGACACCUUCGGGUCUGGUGGCGCACAGGUGCGUAACGCGUGGGAAGCUUCAUGUAUGUACGGAAUACCUCAGAGAAGUUUGGGCUAAUACCGGAUGAUUUAUUCGGACCCAAGAUUUAUCGCCCUUGGAUGAGCCGGCGUUGUAUUAGCUAGUUGGUGGGGUAAAGGCCUACCAAGGCGACGAUCCAUAGCUGGUCUGAGAGGCUGCGAAGCCACACUGAGACUGAGACACGGCCCAGAAUACUACGCGAGGCAGCAGAGGGGAAUAUUGGACAACGGGCUAAAGCCUGAUGCAGCUACGCUGCGUGAGUCAUGAAGGCCUUAGGGUUGUAAAGCUCUUUUACCCGAGACGAUAAUGACAGUACCGGGAGAAUAAGCUCCGGCUAACUCCGUG
Molecule: ribosomal RNA, 433 nt
Filed under: uncultured bacterium
Lineage: Bacteria
Description: partial 16S ribosomal RNA
Rfam family: Bacterial small subunit ribosomal RNA
Source: RNAcentral